RNAcentral lists this ribosomal RNA (253 nucleotides) under uncultured bacterium. RNAcentral describes it as "partial 16S ribosomal RNA". It matches the Rfam family "Bacterial small subunit ribosomal RNA", at positions 524 to 776 of the family's 1533-position model. The record is from RNAcentral.
UACAUGGGGUGCAAACGUUGCUCGGAAUUAUUGGGCGUAAAGCGCACGUAGGCGGUUCGUUAAGUCGGAUGUGAAAGCCCUUGGCUUAACCGAGGAAGUGCAUCCGAAACUGGCGAGCUAGAGUACGAAAGAGGAUCGCGGAAUUCCCGGUGUAGAGGUGAAAUUCGUAGAUAUCGGGAGGAACACCUGUGGCGAAAGCGGCUCACUGGACCAUUACUGACGCUGAUGCUCGAAAGCUAGGGGAGCAAACAGG